Fukomys damarensis (Damara mole-rat) is the source of this 298-nucleotide unclassified non-coding RNA. Its record names the gene 7SK. It matches the Rfam family "7SK RNA". From Rfam's summary of the family: 7SK was discovered as an abundant small nuclear RNA in the mid-70s but a possible function has only recently been suggested. Two independent studies have found that 7SK RNA binds the CDK9/cyclin T complex (known as elongation factor P-TEFb). The record is from Ensembl. NCBI's taxonomy places the organism in Eukaryota, Metazoa, Chordata, Mammalia, Rodentia, Bathyergidae.
GUACCAAGCUGGCUGUCACAUGUCACCCAUUGAUCUCCAGGGUCGAUUCAGCUGACCUGGGCACCUCGGCGGGUCCCCCCCCACGCUCCAUGCGUGUCCCUCCCGAAGCUGGACACUCAUUGAAGAGGACAACCGCCCUGACACAGGAGAACCCUUUCCUUGGUCAGGCCUGGACGAGGAGCAGCACUCCCCUGCUACAGCCUCCAAACAAGCUCUCAAGAAUGGAAUCUCAGAAGUGGUCUAUAUGUCCGUGAACAACAACAACAAAAAAGGCAUAAAUAAAAUGUGUUACUUAUAC